UCCCUGGUGGCUCAGAGGUUAAAGCGUCUACCUCCAAUGUGGGAGACCCCAGGUUCGAUCCCUGGGUCGGGAA
RNAcentral lists this transfer RNA (73 nucleotides) under Ovis aries (sheep). It matches the Rfam family "tRNA". Rfam says of the family: Transfer RNA (tRNA) molecules are approximately 80 nucleotides in length. Lineage: Eukaryota; Metazoa; Chordata; Mammalia; Artiodactyla; Bovidae. The record is from Rfam by way of RNAcentral.